AAUCUUCCGCAAUGGACGAAAGUCUGACGGAGCAACGCCGCGUGAGUGAUGAAGGUCNNNGGAUCNUAAAACUCUGCUGUGAGNGAANAACAAGUAUCGUUAGAAUAGGGCGGUACCUUGACGGUACCUAACCAGAAAGCCACGGCUCACUACGUGCCAGCAGCCGCGGUAAUACGUAGGUUGCAAGCUUUAUUCGGAAUUAUUGCGCGAAAAGCGCGCGCAGGCGGUUUCUUAAGACUGAUGUCAAAGCCUACGGCUCAACCAUGGAGGGUCAUUGGAAACUGGGAAGAUUGAGUGAAGAUGAGGAGAGUGGAAUUCCAUGUGUAGCGGUGAAAUGCGUAGAGAUAUGGAGGAACACCAGUGGCGAAGGCGACUCUCUGGUCUGCAACUGACGCUGAGGCGCGAAAGCGUGGGGAGCGAACA
RNAcentral lists this ribosomal RNA (423 nucleotides) under uncultured bacterium. RNAcentral describes it as "partial 16S ribosomal RNA". It matches the Rfam family "Bacterial small subunit ribosomal RNA", at positions 360 to 774 of the family's 1533-position model. The record is from RNAcentral.